GACGAACGCUGGCGGCGUGCUUAACACAUGCAAGUCGAGCGGAAAGGCCCUUCGGGGUACUCGAGCGUCGAACGGGUGAGUAACACGUGAGUAACCUGCCCCAGACUUUGGGAUAACCCUCGGAAACGGGGGCUAAUACCGGAUACGACACAGCUUCGCAUGGGGUCUGUGUGGAAAGUUUUUCGGUUUGGGAUGGGCUCGCGGCCUAUCAGCUUGUUGGUGGGGUGAUGGCCUACCAAGGCGACGACGGGUAGCCGGCCUGAGAGGGCGACCGGCCACACUGGGACUGAGACACGGCCCAGACUCCUACGGGAGGCAGCAGUGGGGAAUAUUGCACAAUGGGCGGAAGCCUGAUGCAGCGACGCCGCGUGAGGGAUGACGGCCUUCGGGUUGUAAACCUCUUUCAGCAGGGACGAAGCGUAAGUGACGGUACCUUCAGAAGAAGCGCCGGCCAACUACGUG
RNAcentral lists this ribosomal RNA (462 nucleotides) under uncultured bacterium. RNAcentral describes it as "partial 16S ribosomal RNA". It matches the Rfam family "Bacterial small subunit ribosomal RNA", at positions 28 to 507 of the family's 1533-position model. The record is from RNAcentral.